UUCGUGAUUAAGAUUUUGAUUAUGUUGUUGCCAUAUUGAUUUAACUGUUUAAUGCUUUUAGGGAAUAGACGGCAUUCCUGGACCACAAGGAGAGAAGGUUUGUUCUGGUUAGCUAAUGGUAACAUGUCAGGUCAGUGUAAUGUGUAAAUCUAACAUUUUUUUUUUUUUGUAACAUAUAGGGUCUAGAGGGUGGAAGCAUGGUAAUACCUGGACCCAAAGGUCAUAAGGUCAGAAUUAUCAACUUUUGCUUUCUCUUAAAAACAUGUCUGUGACCUACAGAAAAUGAAUGUGCAAGGUAAUCCAUUUGAUUUUAGUUUUUAAUAAUGGUCUCUUUAAUCUGAUUUUAUGAACUCUUAAAUGUAUUACUGGGGCUCUGCUGUAGGGGGAGAGGGGACCACCUGGUGUACAAGGACAAAAAGGCAUAAAGUUAUUUGUAUCAGGACCAAAGGAGCUUAAGGUAACAUGCCCCUCACUUAAAAGUCAUCCAUUGUAAUUUUUAUGUGUUUUUGCCCAAUAUAUACUGUUGUACUCUGUAAUCCAAAUGAAUGAAUUGGAGUUUUCUGAAAAGUCACCCUCUUUUUGGUUUCAGGGUGACCUUGGGGAUCCUGGAGACAUUGGAUGUCCUGGCCCAGCUGGUUUCCGUGGUCGUCCUGGUCCUAAGGGGGAGAAAGGGGAAAUUGGGUGGCCUGGGGGUCCGGUAAAUAACUAAAUUGAGAGAGAGAGAGAGAGAGAGAGAGAGAGAGAGAGAGAACAACUCAAGUUCUCCCAAUUUGUACUUAAAUCUAUUCACAUUAAGUUCAAAUGUUUGGCAUAAAACAAGAUUUUAAAAAGAUUUUAUUUACUUGACAACUAGUUUCAUUGGUUUCAGUUUCAUUGGUUUGGAUGCCAUUCAUUCAUUUAUUCAUUCAUUUAUUCAUUCAUUCAUUCAUUUUUAAUCUUGAAUCUUUAUUGGAAGGAUUGCUUACAAAUAUUUUAUAUAAAAAUUAAAUUAUGUGUAAUAUAAUUAAAUAUUAAUAUAAUAUAAAAAAUGUGUUUGUACACACAAAAUGCGCUCUUGUCUUAGGACAAUUUUAAUGNUAUAUAUAUAUAUAUAUAUAUAUAUAUAUAUAUAUGCACAUACAUACACUAGUCAAUAUUUGAAGUGGAUCAAAACCUUGCAUCAAAGUUGUCCUAAAACCUAAAACCAAAAUGCGCUCUUGUCUUAGGACAAUUUUAAUGAACUUUUUUGAUCCACUUCACAUGUUGACUACUGUAUAUAUGGAUUUUGAGUAUUAUAAUUUAGGUUUUAUUUGAUUUAUUUAUUUAUUUUUU
Long non-coding RNA from Cyprinus carpio (common carp), 1311 nucleotides. The record is from Ensembl. NCBI's taxonomy places the organism in Eukaryota, Metazoa, Chordata, Actinopteri, Cypriniformes, Cyprinidae.